This 365-nucleotide ribosomal RNA is filed under the name uncultured rumen bacterium clone 38. RNAcentral's name for it is "bacterial SSU rRNA". It matches the Rfam family "Bacterial small subunit ribosomal RNA", at positions 19 to 363 of the family's 1533-position model. The record is from RNAcentral.
UUGGCUCAGGAUGAACGCUGGCGGCGUGCUUAACACAUGCAAGUCGAACGGGGAUACAUUGAAUGAGAGCUUCGGCAGGAUUUUGGUGUAUUCUAGUGGCGGACGGGUGAGUAACGCGUGAACAAUCUGUCCCAGACAGGGGAAUAACACUUGGAAACAGGUGCUAAUACCGCAUGAGACCACGGGUAGGCAUCUACCUGAGGUAAAAGGAGCAAUCCGGUUUGGGGUGAGUUCGCGUCCGAUUAGAUAGUUGGUGAGGUAACGGCCCACCAAGUCGACGAUCGGUAGCCGAUCUGAGAGGAUGACCGGCCACAUUGGAACUGAGAGACGGUCCAAACUCCUACGGGAGGCAGCAGUGGGGAAUA